GGAAAAAUAAAACUUGAAAGCACAGCAGUCUGUCAUUAACCAGCUUCUGGCAACCAAGCAUCAAGAUUGGGGAAACGAGGAAAAAGGCUCCUGUGGUUCACUGUCAACAUGUUGCCUUCAAAGUUGGAGCAGGUUUCACCGCUAACAAAGGGAAACUGGGCCCAUUCAUCACGUCUUUAAAUAAAGGCACAUUCCACCGUUUUACAUGGAUAUAGCUGCUCCCUGUGCUGUGAGCUGCUGGUGGGAGAGACCAGGAGCUCGCCAUACCUAACCAUCACACCUGCCUGCAUGUACGGUCUAUUCUUGCGCUCUGCUGCCCUCUGCUGGAUUUCAAGCCACUAUCUUUAAUUUUAGCUUUUAGAUAACUGCCGUAAGAUGAGAAAUGGUGAUGUAUUUCUAUAGUUUCACCUGCAUUUGUGCAAACAUUUAACAAAUCUUAAAGUAGCUCUAUACCGUUCAUAGUCAGACAUUAUAGUUCAUUUUCUUCUUAUCACAAAGUAAAUAUUUCCUCCACUGCUGAGAAAAGUUCUUAAAACACUUUUUUCUCAUUUUUUUCUAAAUCAGCACUAAAAUGUUUAAGAGCUCUUUUCUAAAGGAGACUGCUGGUUGUAGAUACAACUGUAAAUAAAUGAAACAAACUAAA
Long non-coding RNA from Girardinichthys multiradiatus, 643 nucleotides. RefSeq lists it as uncharacterized. The transcript is spliced from 2 exons. Lineage: Eukaryota; Metazoa; Chordata; Actinopteri; Cyprinodontiformes; Goodeidae. The record is from RefSeq and is a predicted model, not a curated record.